This 597-nucleotide long non-coding RNA is filed under the name Malus domestica (apple). Its description in RNAcentral is "long non-coding RNA (MDOM_LNC013919)". Lineage: Eukaryota; Viridiplantae; Streptophyta; Magnoliopsida; Rosales; Rosaceae. The record is from RNAcentral.
GAUCCACCAAGAUUCCACCUGCAGGCUGCUUGCAUGUGUGAGCGCCAUCAUUCAUUGCAUGUGCUCUGUAACGUUGAUCAAAUUCCUCAAUUUCUGUUGUGUAUAAAUAAGCCUUCCUGUAAGGCUUUUAGACAUGUAUUCGAUCCUUAUUCCGUUUCUAUCAGCUUGAGAGUUUUAACCUAUCAAGUGUAGUUUUAUUUGUACCGAAGCUUGCUGCUUCAUGUUUGUUAGCUUUUUUGGACACCAUAACUGCGCAACCAUUUUGCAGCCAUUUGCACAACCACUGCCUUCUUGCUGCCUUGUACUGUCAUUGCUCAACCAUUUCACAGCCAUUGGGCAGCCACUGCAUUCUUGCUGCCUUGCACAACCAUCUGCACUGCCUUGUCUUCUUUGUUGCACUGCCUCACGUCCUUGUUGCACCGUGGUGCUGCUGAUUGUCACCACAACUGUGUGCAUUGCUUGUUGAGGACGACUUUGAAAGCUGCACUGCAAUCUCUGUUUGCUGAGGACAACUUUGACGGCUGCACUACGAUCGCUACUCACUACACAGCCAGUUUGGAGGCUGCGAUAAAGGAAGAAGACGAGUUCAGAGUGCCU